CUACGGAGGGUGCAAGCGUUGUUCGGAAUCACUGGGCGUAAAGGGCGCGCAGGCGGUUUGGUAAGUCAGAUGUGAAAGCCACGGCUCAACCGUGGAAGUGCAUUUGAAACUGCCAGACUUGAGUACCAUAGGGGAAAGUGGAAUUCCCGGUGUAGAGGUGAAAUUCGUAGAUAUCGGGAGGAAUACCGGUGGCGAAGGCGACUUUCUGGCUGGAUACUGACGCUGAGGCGCGAAAGCGUGGGGAGCAAACAGGAUUAGAUACCCCAGUAGUCC
This 273-nucleotide ribosomal RNA is filed under the name uncultured bacterium. Its description in RNAcentral is "partial 16S ribosomal RNA". It matches the Rfam family "Bacterial small subunit ribosomal RNA", at positions 523 to 796 of the family's 1533-position model. The record is from RNAcentral.